Molecule: ribosomal RNA, 599 nt
Filed under: uncultured Actinomycetes bacterium
Lineage: Bacteria; Bacillati; Actinomycetota; Actinomycetes
Description: bacterial SSU rRNA
Rfam family: Bacterial small subunit ribosomal RNA
Source: RNAcentral
UGACGAAGUUAACACAUUAAGCACCCCGCCUGGGGAGUACGGUCGCAAGACUAAAACUCAAAGGAAUUGACGGGGGCCCGCACAAGCGGCGGAGCAUGCGGAUUAAUUCGAUGCAACGCGAAGAACCUUACCAAGACUUGACAUAUAGUAGAAAAGCGUAGAAAUACGCUCCCCGCAAGGCUGCUAUACAGGUGGUGCAUGGUCGUCGUCAGCUCGUGUCGUGAGAUGUUGGGUUAAGUCCCGCAACGAGCGCAACCCUCGUCCUAUGUUGCCAGCACGUAAUGGUGGGAACUCAUGGGAGACUGCCGGGGUCAACUCGGAGGAAGGUGGGGAUGACGUCAAAUCAUCAUGCCCCUUAUGUCUUGGGCUUCACGCAUGCUACAAUGGCCGAUACAAAGGGCUGCGAUACCGCAAGGUGGAGCGAAUCCCAUAAAGUCGGUCUCAGUUCGGAUUGGGGUCUGCAACUCGACCCCAUGAAGUCGGAGUCGCUAGUAAUCGUAGAUCAGCAACGCUACGGUGAAUACGUUCCCGGGCCUUGUACACACCGCCCGUCAAGUCACGAAAGUCGGUAACACCCGAAGCCGGUGGCCUAACCGUAA